This 3209-nucleotide long non-coding RNA is filed under the name Homo sapiens (human). RNAcentral describes it as "HSALNT0117736". Lineage: Eukaryota; Metazoa; Chordata; Mammalia; Primates; Hominidae. The record is from RNAcentral.
GGUCGCUUCUCGCAGGCGGCGCGCUUGCUGGGUCACAGUGAGGCGGCUCCGCGCAGGCGCAGCCGGGCGGGCGAGGAGCGGGGAAGCUGACUCAGGGCUGCGGCCGGGGUCCUGCGGGGUAGGAGCGCGAGGCCGGCCUGAGGGAGGAGGCCUAGCGACCCAUCCGGCGCCUCCCGCCCCGGGCACCCGCCCGCGGCCGCGCAUCCUGCGGGCCCCAGGAGGCCUCCAUCUCAAAACAACGUGUUUUUAGAGAACUCAAGGGCUGUGAAAAGAGCAGGACCUCACCAGCUGCACGGCGGUGGUGACUGGCUCCAUCUUGCUGUCCCUCCCAAUCACACAACAUCUCCCCUUGAAGGCUCUGCCCAGGCCCGGACUCCCACCUUUCAAGAUGUCUGGAUCAGUGCAGGACCUCCUCCUUGGCCACAUCGCUCUCCUUGGACUGGCUGGAGUGCAAUGACUCGGUCUCGGCUCAUUGCAACCUCCGCCUUGCAGGUUCAAGUGAUUCUCCCACCUCAGCCUCCCAAGUAGGAUUACAGGUACACACCACCACGCACAGCUAAUUGUUUUGUAUUUUAGGAAGAGAUGGGGUUUCAUCAUGUUAGCCAGGCUGGUCAGGUGAUCCAUCCGCCUUGGCCUCCCCAAGUGCUGGGAUUACAGGCGUGAGGCACUGUGCCCGGCCUGCCCCCCUUUUCUCUUGAUGUAAGUGGACAUUUUAAUCCAUAAUCUGUAACAUUUAUGUAUUAAGUUUACUACUAUCUUUGGUUUGCAGUGUUGACUCACCUGUGGAGUGGUCUGAGCCUGAAUGCCCGGGGCUGUGGCCACCGAGUGAACGGGCUGUGCUAAGGGGAAUUGCCACCUUGGGAAACCUGUGUAGUUGCGGCUUUUCUGAUUAAGUAUCAAUAAAAGUCUGACCUUGUGAAAAAAGCAAACGUGAGUGGCCCUGCUUAUGUUUCACCUUGCGUUGCUCAGUGAUAGUUCUGCAAAGUCGCAGGAAACCUGGAAUCAUCUAAUUAUCGUGAGUGUUGGUUCCUUAUUUAAUAAUGUCUAGUUGAUUCAUUAACAUGGAAUUCAUGGCCAGUACCUCUGUCACUCAUGCCUGACUGAAGUUGAUCAGCACGUCUUUUUCUCCCUUAGGCACAUGACAGCCUUCUUGCAAUCAAGAAACUACGUGUGGCCAGGAUCUCAUCCACUAUCACAGUUUCAGCUUUCCCCAAACUGGAAUGUGUCUUUGCAGACGCCCAUCCUUAUUAAAGGGCAAAGACUUCUCAUACACCUAGGAUGGAUCUUAUAUUCUUGGCGGGACUGCAGAGAAGGUGCCGUGUCCUGAGUCCUCAUGUCAGGGCACAGGCUUCCAGCCAGUUCUACCUGGGUUAUGUUUAUCUCAAUUCCCUGGUGGUAUUGGUGUCUGCUGGGUUUUGCCAGAAUGAAGACACCGUGUUUUCAUUUGUCAGUUGAUUCGUAUUUUCCAGGAAGACAUUCUGAGAUUACAGCAUUGUCUUAGUCAAGGUGCUGCAGAAGGACAGAACUAAUAGGAUAUAUGUACAUAUGAAAGAAAGUUUAUGAAGAACUGGCUCACACCAUCACAAGGCAAAGUCCCAUGACAGGCCAUCUGCAAGCUGAGGAGCGAGGAAGCCAGCAGUGGCUCAGCCGGAGUCCAACAGCCUCAAACGGAAUCCAACAGUUCAGGCUUCAGUCUGUGGCCAAAUGCCCAGAGACCCCGGAAAGCUACUGGUGUUAGUCCCAGAGCCGGAAGGCCAAAGAACCUGGAGUGUGAUGUCCAAGGGCAGGAGGAAUGGACAGAAGCAUCCAGCAUGGGGUAAAGACGAAAGCCAGAAGACUCAGCAAGCUAGCUUACCUACUUUCUUCUGCCUGCCUUGUUCUAGCCGCGCUGGCAGCCGGUUGGAGGGUGCCCACCCCCACUGAGGGUGGAUCUUCCUCUCCUAGUCCACUGACUCAAAUUUCAGUCUCUCUGGGAGCACCAUCACACCAGAAACAAUACCAGCCAUCUAGCCACCCUUCAGUUCACCAUCACAACCAUUGUCUUAUUCAUGAAACUUCUGCAGACCCACCUUAACCUCCAUCGGUGACUUCUACCUGAAGCCCUCUGAUUGUUGCCCAGUGGUGCUUUUUAAAAUAAUUUCCAUAGUUUCUUCUACACCUUUAGUUGGCAUUCUACUGUAAAGGAGAGAUUUUAUUUUCUUACUCAUUUAUUUGUUAGUUUAUAGUCACCACCAUAUGGAUGCAGAGUUCUGUCUCAUUCACUGGGAAGUAUUCUAUUGCAGUCAUGAUUUAUUUUGAUGUUCACAUCCCAGAGUUGGUGAGUGAGCGCCCCUUCACGCUGGCUCCCGAGUGCUGACGUGUCCCCGUCCUUCUCUGCACUUUUCCUUACCUCCUGGCCUCAGAUAUUCCAGGGUCAUUUGUUCUCUCCCUGCUCCAACCCUGCAGUCAGCCAUCUCCCUAGGGACGUUGGUUCCUUUAUGGAAGGUGGCAUUUAGAAGCCAGGAUUUGGGCUGAGCACUGUGGCUCAUGCUUGUAAUCCCAGCACUUGGGGAGGCCGAAGUGGGCGGAUCGCUGGAGGCCAAGAGUCUGAGACCAGCCUGGCUAACAUGGUGAAACCCUUCCCCGUCUCUACUACAAAUAAAAAAUUAGCUGGGUGUGUUGGCACGUGCCUGUAAUCCCAGUUACUCAGGAGGCUGAAGCACCAGAAUCUCUUGAACCCAGGAGGCCGAGGUUGCAGUGAGCCAAGAUUGCACCACUGCACUACAGCUUGGGUGACAGCGCGAGACACCGUCUCAAAAAGGAUAAUAAUUUAAAAAACAGCAGGAUUUGGGUGAGCAGUGCGCUCAUUGCUUCUGGGCUCUCUCGGUGGACAUAGGCUAGGAAUGUAAGAUGUAUGUGCCUGUGUAUAUACACACGUCUGUAGCUAUGUCUAUGUUGCAUACAUGUGUUUUUCCAAAAACCAAAUCCAUAACCAUGCCUUCAGUUUCAGCCCAACACCUCCGGGCUCUUUCUAGCUUUCUACCUUUCAUGAUUGUGAAUACCUUCUCCAGCAGUGAGAAACCUGGCUCCUUUGUCCUCAGUGGAUUUUCUUAUUUGCUCAAUUUUUUUGUUUUUUGUUUUGUUUUUGUUUUUGAGACAGAGUCUUGUUCUGUCACCCAAGCUGGAGUGCAGUGGCAUAAUCUCGGCUUACCGCAACCUCUGCCUCCUGG